GGGCCCAUAGCCUAGCCUGGAUAGGGCGUUUGGCUUCGGACCAAAAGAUCGUGGGUUCGAAUCCCACUGGGCCCG
Molecule: transfer RNA, 75 nt
Filed under: Methanobacteriota archaeon
Lineage: Archaea; Methanobacteriati; Methanobacteriota
Description: Euryarchaeota archaeon tRNA-Arg
Rfam family: tRNA
About the family: Transfer RNA (tRNA) molecules are approximately 80 nucleotides in length.
Source: RNAcentral